RNAcentral lists this long non-coding RNA (203 nucleotides) under Elaeis guineensis (African oil palm). Its description in RNAcentral is "long non-coding RNA (EGUI_LNC020503)". Lineage: Eukaryota; Viridiplantae; Streptophyta; Magnoliopsida; Arecales; Arecaceae. The record is from RNAcentral.
CUCCUAAAUUGGGUCCAAGCUUGCCACCAACACCUAUAUGAUAAGUUAAGAAGUAUCUUGAUCCGGUGUAGCAAGUUAAAAGCCACAGUGGCACUAGUGUAGAUGAACAUCAAAAGAGAAAAUACCCCCUACACGCAUAUGAGUUGCACAUCCUUUUUGUUCCGUUCUUCUUUUAUUUUCCUUUUUUUCUUCCCUUCUCCUAA